AAUAGCCUAACGGCUGAACCAGCAACUUGGAGGAACGAAUAGCAAUAGCUAAUUGCACAUACAUAUGAUGCAAUAUCGACUCAGUCGAAUAAAAUUCUGGCUAGAAUUAUGAUAAUGACAUUGUCUGGCUAUGUGUCUUGACUAAAUUACGUGCCAGCAGUCGCGGUAAUACGUAAAAGACUAGUGUUAUUCAUCUUUAAUAGGUUUAAAGGGUACCCAGACGGUAAAUUAAGCCCUAUACGGAACUAAUUUGCUAGAGUUACUUAUGCGGGGGCUAUGAAGUACUAAUGGUGUAGAGAUAAAAUUUUGUAAUACCAUUUUUCGAAAGAAAAGUUAUGGCACUGGUAAAGGCGAAAGCAUCCUCUUAUGUGAUAACUGACGUUGAAGGACGAAGGCUUUGGAUCGCGAAUAGGAUUAGAUACCCUAGUAGUCAAAGGAGAGAAUUAUGAGUGUCAUAGAUUAGAGAUUAACCUUUAUUCUAUAAAUGAAAGUGUAAGCACUCCACCUCAAGAGUAAUUUGGCAACAUUGGAACUGAAAUCAUUAGACCGUUUCUGAA
RNAcentral lists this ribosomal RNA (557 nucleotides) under Phyllopsora breviuscula. RNAcentral's name for it is "SSU rRNA". It matches the Rfam family "Bacterial small subunit ribosomal RNA", at positions 370 to 925 of the family's 1533-position model. The record is from RNAcentral. Lineage: Eukaryota; Fungi; Ascomycota; Lecanoromycetes; Lecanorales; Ramalinaceae.